RNAcentral lists this microRNA precursor (76 nucleotides) under Gorilla gorilla gorilla (western lowland gorilla). Its description in RNAcentral is "mir-1290 microRNA precursor family". It matches the Rfam family "mir-1290 microRNA precursor family". The record is from Rfam by way of RNAcentral. Lineage: Eukaryota; Metazoa; Chordata; Mammalia; Primates; Hominidae.
GAGUGUCAUAUUAGCACUCAAAAAGUUUCAGAUUUUGGAGCACUUUGGAUUUUGAGUUUUUGGAUUAGAGAUGCUC